GGCAAUAUUAACCUUCACAUAAAAUAGAGUUUUUAUUACAUUUACAACAUGUAUCGUCAAUUAACUCCAUAUAUUGAACUAGAAAGAAGUACCUAGUAACAAUAUUCAAAAUCAAUCGAUGGCCGAUGUUACCGUCAUUGUGUUUUAGUCCAUUUUCUUGUUUAUCUUGGUAGCCACCUCCUCUGCAGUAGACACCAUAACUGCAAAUCAAAGCAUAAGGGAUGACGGAAAUAGUACCAUUGAAUUAGCUGGAGGAGUCUUUGAGCUGGGAUUUGGUAACUCCAAGAACAGAUACCUGGGUAUAUGGUACAAGAAGAUAGCAACUGGGACAGUUGUAUGGGUUGCUAAUCGAAAGAUUCCACUUGCUGAUAAUUCAGGUGUCUUAAGGGUCGAUGGAAAGGGAAUGUACUUGCUAAUAGAAAGAUUCCACUUAUCUCUAGUCCUGCCUCUAGGAUGGUGUUGAAUCCGAAUGGAACUAUUCAACUUCUCACAAGGAUUGAUGAUUAAUCGAACGCAAAGAUAGGAAAAUAAUCCGAGCCAGCCUGCACAGAGGGAUAAUUGAGACCAUUAUGCAUUAUGUGGUGCAUAUGGUAGUUGUUACUUAACCAAAUACCAGCCGGGAACAUGUAGUUGCAUGAAAGGAUAUGAGCCAAAAAAUUUAGAGUGGAACAAUAUUUAUCAGAUCAAUUUUGAAUAUAAAAAUCUCUUAAGUUGACUUGAAAAGGUCAACAAUAAUCAAAUAAUAUGGAAUAGGAGUAUUUUUUAUGAAACCUUAAUUCAGUUUCAUGAAUAUGAUAAAUGUAAUACAGUAAUAGUAUUACCGAGCAAGAGUUGGAAGUAAAUCAUACGCCAAAUACUAUUACUCAAAGACUUGCAAACCUAAUUAUUGUCCCUAUGGACUUUUCUUAGUAGUUUCCUUUGACUAGAAGCCUUUGACUAAUUCAUACCUUGAAUUUCCACAAGAUAACUGUUGUAGCCUAUAUUUGACCUUUGAAUAGAAAGUUACUAGAGCCAGUAAUAAGUGAAGAAAAGUAAAGCUACAAACCACUACCUCCAUUCCAAAACUAAAGUACAGCUACAAACCACAAGCUCCACUUUGCUGAUAACAUUCUUUAUCUUUUUAACUACCAAUGACAGUCAGUACCAUCACUUUGUUUUGCUCCACUUUGAUGAUAACAUUCUUUAUCUUGUUAACUACCUCCAGUGCAGCAGACACAAUAACUGCAAAUCAAACCAUUAGAGAUGAUGGCAAUAACACCAUUGAAUCAGCUGGUGGAAUUUUUGAGUUGGGAUUCUUCAGCCCCGGUAGUUCCAAGAAUCGAUACUUGGGCAUUUGGUACAAGAAAAUAUCAAACAGGACAGUUGUUUGGAUUGCUAAUAGAGAAACUCCAAUCACUGAUAACUCAGGUGUCAUAAGGGUGGAUAGUAAUGGGAUUUUAGUACUUGUUCAUAGUACAAAUAGCAUAAUUUGGACGUCAAAUUCAUCGAGAUCUGUGGCAAAACCUUUGGUUCAAUUACUAGAUACAGGAAAUCUUGUUCUCAGGUAUGAAAAUGACACUGACCCUGAAAAAUUUCUUUGGCAAAGUUUUGAUCAUCCUGUGAAUAAUCAACUACCAGGGAUGAAGCUUGGAUGGGACUUUGAAAAGGGCCUAGACCGGUACCUAACAUCCUGGAAAAGUGCCGAUGAUCCUUCUCCGGGUAAUUUCACAUUCAGGGUCAAUAUUGAAGGAUACCCACAAAUGAUUGUGUCUCAAGGUUCAGUUGCGCAGUUCAGAUUUGGACCAUGGGAUGGUAUUCAGUUUAGUGGUGUGGCGUUUGACGUACCAGACUUGAAUUUUGAUUUGAAGCUUAUUUUCAAUCAGAGGGAAAUUUAUUCGACGUUUAAUCUUGUGAAUCAAUCUAUUGCUCUGAGGUUUGUGUUGAAUCCUACUGGAGAUGUACAACUUCUAACAUGGAUGGAUCAAACCCAAAAUUGGACAUUUGGUACUAAUGUGGGAGUACUUUGGGAUGAAUGUGAUCAGUUUGCGUUAUGCGGGGCAUAUGGUAAUUGUAACAUUACUGAGUACAGAUUAGGACAAGUCCCAUGUGGGUGUUUGAAAGGAUAUGAGCCUAAAUUUCCAGAUAAAUGGAACUCAGCAGAUUGGUCUAAUGGGUGCGUUCGAAAAACUGAAUUUGAAUGUGGAAAUGGAGAUGAAUUUGUCGAGUAUCCGAAUUUGAAAUUACCAGACACACGACGUUCAGUUUUUAAUCGAAGCAUGAACCUUGAAGAAUGUAAGAGGGUGUGCUUGAGGAAUUGUUCUUGUACAGGUUACUCAAAUAUAGAUAUCAGGCAAGGUACUGGGUGCAUGUUAUGGUUUGAUGAGUUGCUUGAUAUCAGAGAUUACGGAGUCAAUGGGCUACAUUUUUUUUUAAGAACUGCUGCCUCAGAAUUAGGUAACUACAAUUUUGAUAACCAAAUUGCUAGUUCAAUUAUAUUGUUAAUGUAGUUGUUUGACAUUGUGGUUUAUAUUUUUGCCUGCACAGUGGAAAAGAGGAGCACAAAUAAUAAGACGCGAGUGAAUAUCAGUAUCAUAAUCAUUCCAGUAUUAGUAGGUCUACUAGUACUGCUAGGCCUAUUUCUGAUAUACAUGUCCAAGAAGAGAAAGAUGAGGAGGAGGAGAAGAAGUAAUGUGUCUUCUGCUAAACUCAUUUUAUGUGGCUGAAUGAAAUUUCCUAUACAUGUUAUUGCGAAUAUGUGCACCUUGUUCACUAUAUGCUUUUCGCUUCUGAAAUUGCAGGAAUGCUAACACUCAAUCCAGAAAAUGACAGCAGAAAUGAAAAUGAGAGAGAAGAUUUGGAUCUGCCAUUAUUUGACUUCCAAAUAAUUGCUGAUGCCACAAAUAACUUCUCUCAAAACAAUAAGCUUGGUGAGGGUGGUUUUGGGCCUGUCUACAAGGUAAUAUAUAAUAGAUACACUUCUAUACACUAAUCAUCAUACAACCUUAAGGUAACAAGAUAUUUAUCUACCACAAAAAAUUUCCCUAAAUUAUUUUAAUUUAAAGCACAAAAUUUAUCUAAUUUAAAGCACAUAUUGGUCAGAGUUAUGCAACAGGAGCUAUUUGACAGCACAUUGCCUCCUAUUGCUCUAAUAGAAAAAGAAUUGUUUCUACAUUAUAGUUCUGUAGCCACAUCAUGUUGUAGGAUUGUGUUGUGCAAGUUUCACUAGCAGAAUAAUAACUAUUAUUGGGAUUGUUUCAGGGAAUCAUCGAUGGAAAACAAGAAAUUGCUGUGAAGAGGUUGUCAAAGACUUCGAGACAAGGACUACAUGAGUUCAAGAAUGAAGUUUCAUCUAUAGCCAAACUUCAGCACCGCAAUCUUGUAAGGCUUCUAGGAUGCUGCAUUGAGGAGGGUGAAAUGAUGUUGAUCUAUGAAUACAUGCCCAACAAAAGUUUAGAUUUCUUUAUUUUUGGUAUGUCUGUCUCAAAAUUUUCGUACGUUUUCUUUGUUUUGAUAGUCUGAAAUUCUACUAUUGUUCUAAGUAGUUAUUAACUUUGAUGAUAAAUUGGAUAGACAAAGAACUAACGAAGUCACUGGAUUGGCCAAAGCGCUACAACAUUAUAAAUGGCAUCGCUAAGGGACUUUUAUAUCUUCACCAAGACUCUAGGCUUAGAAUCAUUCAUAGAGAUCUCAAAGCCAGCAAUAUUUUACUAGAUCAAGAUAUGAGUCCAAGAAUUUCAGAUUUUGGCUUGGCAAGAAGUUUUGGAGGAAGUGAAACUUUAGUAAAUACAGCUAGAGUGGUUGGCACAUAGUAAGAAUCUCUAUAGCACUGCAAUCUUUUGUACUUUUAUUUAUCAGAAUUGAAGCUAAUAUUAUUUUCAACGGAUUUCCUGCAGUGGUUAUAUGUCUCCUGAGUAUGCCAUUGAUGGAUUAUUCUCAGUUAAAUCUGAUGUUUAUAGUUUUGGCGUUGUGAUACUAGAGGUAAUGAGCGGGAAAAAAAUCAGAGGGUUUUAUGAUUCAGGGGACAACCUUAACCUUCUUGGUCAUGUAAGUUCCAAGAACUAAUACUGCAUCGAAUUCUUUAUUUUAUAGUUAUUAAAUUAUUGAUAAAUGAUAACCAAAUUGUGUAGGCAUGGAAACUUUUUAAAGAGGGCAAGUAUUUGAACCUAAUUGAUGAGGCAAUUGUGGAGUCAUGUAAGCAGUCUGAGGUUCUUCGAGCUAUCCAAAUCGGGUUAUUGUGUGUGCAACCGUAUCCAAAAGACAGGCCAAACAUGCCAUUUGUUGUUUCAAUGCUAAGCAGUGAAAAUGAGCUACCUCAGCCAAAUGAACCUGGUUUUUUCACUGAGAGGAGAGUCCCAGAAUCAGAUUCUUCAUCUAGCAACCAAGGAUUGUUUGUAUCUAAUAAUGAAUUAUCUGUUUCAUUUUUCGGCCCUAGGUAGCAUAGUUGUUACGGCGCCACGGCGAGUCAUGGCGGUAGCCGACUGCCUGGACGCCAUGGCGUCCUUAUGGCGAUAAGUCGUUUACAAUGUGCAAUUUAUAUCAUAAUUAUCGGCCCCCAAACUUUCUGCCAUUUUACGUUCUACACAAUACAAUCAAAUAAAAAAUAUAAGAGACAGUCUUUAUAGAAGUAAAUAUAAAUUUCUAACCACAACACUCAUCAGCAGGCAUGAUCCAUCAUCCAAGCAGUAUUAUAUAUAUAUAUAUAUAUAUAUAUAUAUAUAUAUAUAUACCCAGCAGAAAGAAAGAAAGAAACAGAGGCAGCAAGGCACUAAGGCUAAAGAAAAAAAAAAGCCAACAGUCAUACAGCUGAGUAGCCGACCAACAUACUUCAACUUUAUUUCAUACAGUAUAAAUAAAAGGGAAGAAACAGACCAAAGCAGCCGAGCAGUAAACAAAAAAGGGGAAGAAAACAAAACGAAAAAAACAUACUUGUUGGCUGCUACCUGCCGAUCUUGCCCUCACCGUCGAAGUCCCUUGCUCGAUCGCAGCCUCCCUCUCGCCCUCGCUGUCGACUUCGUCUUCUCUCUAUCGGUUCUCUCGAGUCUCGACUUCGAUGGAUCUGAAUUCUACUUCUUCUUUGUGAAUCGACUACAUAAGGGCUUCGUUAUAUCAUAGCGUGAUGUCGUUUUUUUUACCCAGUUUAGAUUUGGGUCGACCCAUGAGACCAAUUCGCUUGACCAGACAGACAAUCGUUCAAGUCGUCGUCACGUUGUCCAUGUCGACUACUUUUUUUGAUAGGCGCUCGCCUUGCAGCCAUUGACCGAGUCGGAAGCUCGCCUUGUAGAUCUCUGGCCGACUGGACGACUUGGCGUCGCCUAGGCUACGCCUUAACAACUAUGCUAGGUAGUAUGUAGACAUUAUUUUUUUGGUACUUCUGGUGCAUUUUGGCACCUUAUGCAAUUGUAAUGUUGUAUUCUUCAUUAAUAUACAAGGAAAAGGGGAUGGUAUUUGAUUUCAUGAAUCUGGUGAAGGUAAUAAGCUGUCAUAUUUUACCUUUUUUGGUACUAGCAAGAGAAAUGAUAUAUAUGCAUACAUACUGCAAGGGAACAGGAAAAAAAUUCAAGAAGAUAGAACCUCUAUGGCAAAACAAGACUUGCAGACAUUUACUCCAAAUGAAAUAAUGGAACUGAAAAAACGGAGCAGGAAUUCCCAGGAACAAACUCGAGAGAUAAUAGACUGGGUUCUUCUACACAGACCGGUCAAUGGGACCGGUUUAUUGGACAGGCCGACUUUUAUUUUUAUUUUUAUUUUUUUGCUUGUGACUCUAAAAAAUGUAUAGUAUUUAUUUCUACAGAAAUUUUU
This 5778-nucleotide long non-coding RNA is filed under the name Panax ginseng (ginseng). Its description in RNAcentral is "long non-coding RNA (PGIN_LNC013320)". The record is from RNAcentral. Lineage: Eukaryota; Viridiplantae; Streptophyta; Magnoliopsida; Apiales; Araliaceae.